RNAcentral lists this ribosomal RNA (496 nucleotides) under uncultured bacterium. RNAcentral describes it as "partial 16S ribosomal RNA". It matches the Rfam family "Bacterial small subunit ribosomal RNA", at positions 29 to 507 of the family's 1533-position model. The record is from RNAcentral.
AUGAACGCUGGCGGCGUGCCUAAUACAUGCACGUCGAGCGAACAGACGAGGAGCUUGCUCCUCUGACGUUAGCGGCGGACGGGUGAGUAACACGUGGAUAACCUACCUAUAAGACUGGGAUAACUUCGGGAAACCGGAGCUAAUACCGGAUAAUAUAUUGAACCGCAUGGUUCAAUAGAGAAAGACGGUUUUGCUGUCACUUAUAGAUGGAUCCGCGCCGCAUUAGCUAGUUGGUAAGGUAACGGCUUACCAAGGCAACGAUGCGUAGCCGACCUGAGAGGGUGAUCGGCCACACUGGAACUGAGACACGGUCCAGACUCCUACGGGAGGCAGCAGUAGGGAAUCUUCCGCAAUGGGCGAAAGCCUGACGGAGCAACGCCGCGUGAGUGAUGAAGGUCUUCGGAUCGUAAAACUCUGUUAUUAGGGAAGAACAAAUGUGUAAGUAACUAUGCACGUCUUGACGGUACCUAAUCAGAAAGCCACGGCUAACUACGUG